CCUACGGGAGGCAGCAGUGGGGAAUAUUGGGCAAUGGGCGCAAGCCUGACCCAGCAACGCCGCGUGAAGGAAGAAGGCUUUCGGGUUGUAAACUUCUUUUGUCAGGGAAGAGUAGAAGACGGUACCUGACGAAUAAGCCACGGCUAACUACGUGCCAGCAGCCGCGGUAAUACGUAGGUGGCAAGCGUUGUCCGGAUUUACUGGGUGUAAAGGGCGGGUAGCCGGGUUGACAAGUCAGAUGUGAAAUCCUGCGGCUUAACCGCAGAACUGCAUUUGAAACUGUUGAUCUUGAGUACUGGAGAGGCAGACGGAAUUCCUAGUGUAGCGGUGAAAUGCGUAGAUAUUAGGAGGAACACCAGUGGCGAAGGCGGUCUGCUGGACAGCAACUGACGGUGAGGCGCGAAAGCGUGGGGAGCAAACAGGAUUAGAUACCCCAGUAAUC
RNAcentral lists this ribosomal RNA (442 nucleotides) under uncultured bacterium. RNAcentral describes it as "partial 16S ribosomal RNA". It matches the Rfam family "Bacterial small subunit ribosomal RNA", at positions 338 to 795 of the family's 1533-position model. The record is from RNAcentral.